GUGGGGGUGAGGGACAGACAGGGAGGGGGUAAGAGACAUAGGAAGACUGGUGUGUAAUAUGGAGUGAGGGGUGAGGGACAGAUGAGGAGUGGGGGUGAGGGACAGACAGGGAGGGGGUAAGAGACAUAGGAAGACUGGUGUGUAAUAUGGAGUGAGGGGUGAGGGACAGAUGAGGAGUGGGGGUGAGGGACAGACAGGGAGGGGGUAAGAGACAUAGGAAGACUGGUGUGUAAUAUGGAGUGAGGGGUGAGGGACAGAUGAGGAGGGUGGGUGAGGGACAGAUGAGGAGUGGGGGUGAGGGACAGACAGGGAGGGGGGGGGUGUGAGGGACAGACAGGGAGGGGGGGGGUAAGAGACAUAGGAAGACUGGUGUGUAAUAUGGAGUGAGGGGUGAGGGACAGAUGAGGAGGGGGUGUGAGGGACAGACAGGGAGGGGGGGGUGUGAGGGACAGACAGGGAGGGGGGAGGGGGUAAGAGACAUAGGAAGACUGGUGUGUAAUAUGGAGUGAGGGGUGAGGGACAGAUGAGGAGUGGGGGUGAGGGACAGACAGGGAGGGGGUAAGAGACAUAGGAAGACUGGUGUGUGAUAUGGAGUGAGGGGUGAGGGACAGACAGGGAGGGGGUAAGAGACAUAGGAAGACUGGUGUGUAAUAUGGAGUGAGGGGUGAGGGACAGAUGAGGAGUGGGGGUGAGGGACAGAUGAGGAGGGGGUGUGAGGGACAGAUGAGGAGGGGUGUGAGGGACAGACAGGGAGGGGGGGGGGGUGUGAGGGACAGACAGGGGGGGGUGUGAGGGACAGACAGGGAGGGGGUAAAAGACAUAGGAAGACUGGUGUGUGAUAUGGAGUGAGGGGUGAAGGACAGAGGGGAAGGGGAAUCAAACAGAGCAGGAAGCCGA
Molecule: long non-coding RNA, 897 nt
Organism: Oncorhynchus keta (chum salmon)
Lineage: Eukaryota; Metazoa; Chordata; Actinopteri; Salmoniformes; Salmonidae
Exons: 5
Source: RefSeq, a predicted model, not a curated record